CAGCUUUGCCAUCUCAACUUGUGAGCUUGUCAGGUCUCGUAAACUAGCAGAUUGAACUUGGUCAGUUCUUGGAUGGGAGGCCUCUUGGAAAACCAAAGAAGUAGGUUUGU
RNAcentral lists this ribosomal RNA (110 nucleotides) under Chelonoidis abingdonii (Abingdon island giant tortoise). The record is from RNAcentral. Lineage: Eukaryota; Metazoa; Chordata; Testudines; Testudinidae.